Molecule: long non-coding RNA, 1045 nt
Organism: Cyprinus carpio (common carp)
Lineage: Eukaryota; Metazoa; Chordata; Actinopteri; Cypriniformes; Cyprinidae
Exons: 3
Source: RefSeq, a predicted model, not a curated record
UAGACUUCUAUAGAACUCAACAGUGUUGAAAUUUGACGUCUUGGGUCAGCACACCGCAACCCGUUGUCUGCCUUGUAUGGGUGGAGACUACAAUAAAUAAAAAUAAAAAGGAAUAGGCUACAAAAAAGGAUCUAUGCCAGGGCGAGCAAAUGGCGGCCCCCAGAUCAUUUUUAUCUGGCCCUCCAACUGGUUUUUGAUGUUUAAAAACCCUCUCAAUCUGAUAUCAAAGUGCCCUCUGCGCAAAGGUUUAGCGCGUUCAUCAGCGGUGAGUUUAACAACACUCAACUGCAGGUAAAACGGCAUUCAGAGGUGAGUUUGACCAAAGCAACGCUCAACUGCAGGUAAAAGCAUUAAAAUGUGAGUUUAACAACGCUCCAAGGCGCGUGCAAGUAAGCAGUUUAAGCGUUUUAUUACAACCCAUUCUCACUCCUAAAGCGCCAAAAACUGACGCCUCUAGCGUCACUAUGAAGACGCCAAAGGCGCCCCUCGGCGUCGCUAUAUCGACGCACUAGGACCUACAUUGCUUUAAGUGGGAAACUUUUGGCGUCAGUACUCAGACGCGAAGGGCAUGAGAUGUUUAUCGCUAUGAAAUCACGUUCAAGAAGUCUCAUUCAGCGCACAUCGCGAUAUUUGCCAUCAGUUUACAUGUGCCACAGGUUGGCUGAAAAGACAUGAAGGAAGCAGUCAGCCCAGUCGUGUUUGUGGAGAGGUAUUCCUUCAGAAAUGGAGAAGAUAGAAAGCUGCGGAGGCAGACAUUUGCAGCAGAUUGUUUGCAGAUAACGCUGUACUCCAUCAUGCACAAGGACUCACCUCUUUAACUCUUUAUCCCCCACACACACAGAAAUGGUCCCUGGAUCAGUGUUUAGACUUUGCAGUGGUUUGAUUUUUGCAGAAAAUGCAACUUUGUUUUAAUUAUAAGCUUAUAAUGAAUACAUUUUGACCUUCCAGCAGCCCAUAUACUGUAUACAGAACCAGUGAUGAAAACAAUAGUUGAAAAUAGUAUUUUCGUAUUGAUAAAGCAUUGUGUUCUCUUUUUCAAGCUUCA